AACACAUGCAAGUCGAGGGGCAGCGGGAUUGAAGCUUGCUUCAAUUGCCGGCGACCGGCGCACGGGUGAGUAACGCGUAUCCAACCUUCCGUACACUCAGGGAUAGCCUUUCGAAAGAAAGAUUAAUACCUGAUGGUAUCUUAAGCACACAUGUAAUUAAGAUUAAAGAUUUAUCGGUGUACGAUGGGGAUGCGUUCCAUUAGGUAGUAGGCGGGGUAACGGCCCACCUAGCCUACGAUGGAUAGGGGUUCUGAGAGGAAGGUCCCCCACAUUGGAACUGAGACACGGUCCAAACUCCUACGGGAGGCAGCAGUGAGGAAUAUUGGUCAAUGGACGAGAGUCUGAACCAGCCAAGUAGCGUGAAGGAUGAAGGUCCUACGGAUUGUAAACUUCUUUUAUAAGGGAAUAAACCCUCCCACGUGUGGGAGCUUGUAUGUACCUUAUGAAUAAGCAUCGGCUAACUCCGUGCCAGCAGCCGCGGUAAUACGGAGGAUGCGAGCGUUAUCCGGAUUUAUUGGGUUUAAAGGGAGCGCAGACGGGUCGUUAAGUCAGCUGUGAAAGUUUGGGGCUCAACCUUAAAAUUGCAGUUGAUACUGGCGUCCUUGAGUGCGGUUGAGGUGUGCGGAAUUCGUGGUGUAGCGGUGAAAUGCUUAGAUAU
This 658-nucleotide ribosomal RNA is filed under the name uncultured Bacteroidota bacterium. RNAcentral describes it as "bacterial SSU rRNA". It matches the Rfam family "Bacterial small subunit ribosomal RNA", at positions 50 to 697 of the family's 1533-position model. Lineage: Bacteria; Pseudomonadati; Bacteroidota. The record is from RNAcentral.